RNA transcript from Rosa chinensis, 1977 nucleotides. It is a transcript of the gene named 2-dehydro-3-deoxyphosphooctonate aldolase 2, with no coding region annotated. The record is from RefSeq and is a predicted model, not a curated record. Lineage: Eukaryota; Viridiplantae; Streptophyta; Magnoliopsida; Rosales; Rosaceae. The transcript has 9 exons.
ACUUAAGCAAAAAAAAUAACAAAAAUAACAAAACUGACCCAAAACCAAAACCCCCUCUCGAUAGCGCCUCACUCUCGACCUCACCUCACUCUCAAGUCUCAACAGACCCAAAACCAAAACCCUCACUCUCUAGCCAAAACCCUCAUUCUCUCUCUAACCAAUCUCAUCUCUCUGCGUGAGAUUGUUGACCGCGAAUAGGAUUGAGCUGGUGAAGUUGUUAGAACUGAGAUCGAGCCGAUUCAGCCUCUCCAGAUCGAGCCAAUUCCCUUGGAGGGAAGCACUAUUGGCGAAAUCUGCGAAAACUCAUAGCUCGGAGCUGACUCAGCCGGCCGAGCGUGUUGGGUGGAAUCAGACCCACAAGCCCAACACCGGGAAGGUGAAGCGAGUACACAUAUAGCUGGUUCCCGUCGUUGUCAGAGCUCCAGGUUUGAAGAAGCUGAGCUAUGGCGAGAUUACGACCAUUCAGUUCGAGUACUUGGGAAGAUAAGGGUUCGUGCCUCUGGUCAUUGAAAUGGGUCAUUCAGAUUUGUGGCUAGGCUUCUCUAAAUCUUUAUCCGCUUCGCAAUCUCUCUAUUAGAGUUGGAUCUAGAGAUACUUCGCAUUGUUUUCAGAUCUGUGUUGCCUCAAACACUAGUCUCCUUGCAGCAACUUCUGGAAUAGUGAAACCUUGGAACUCGCCUUCUGUUAAAAUGGGAUUUCUUAGGUAUCUCUCGAUGCUCAAGAGACGUGCCACUGGAUACAAGAAUAAGGUGUGGAGAAAGAAGCUAAAUGGCUGAUGUUUUCCUGUGGAGGGAUAAGAAGCUAUCAGGAGGUUGAUAAUUGCACAAUGUUAGUCUUAAUUAGUUUUGUUAGUUUAGCAAGAUUGAUACCUGCAUAUACUAAAAGUAUCAGCAAUUCAGCAUUGCAGCAGCUCAUCUCAAGAGAAACAAAUCCCCUCCAAAGUCAAAGUUGGAUUGCCACUGGUGUUCAAGUCAGGCUUUGACAAAGCUAACCGUACAUCCUCAAAAUCAUUCCGGGGCCCUGGCAUGGCUGAAGGAUUAAAGAUCCUUAAGAAGGUUAAAAUAGCUUUUGACCUCCCUAUAGUUACAAAUGUACACGAGUUUAUACAGUGCGAAGAAGUUGGCAAAUUAAGUUGCAGAUAUCAUUCAGAUUCCUGCAUUUUUAUGCUGUCAGGUUAAGUUUAUAUUGAACCCUGUGUACUUUAUCAUGCUCCACCUGCUUUGACGCUCUUUGGUUUUGCUAUUGCAUGCUCUUUCCACACUUUUUGUCUUUUCAAUUUCUAUUUCAAUUCCUUUUCUUUCACUCCAACUCUUACAUUUCAUUCAAUUAGUUCAUAAUUCUAUGCCUUACCUCUUGCUUCUUGGGGUCCUACACUUCAAUUCUUUGUCUGUUGUCAGUUAAUGUAACCUUUUCAUGUGUAGCCACUUUUAUGCUCAGCACGUGUAUAUGUCACUCCUCUAUGCAGUAAUUUGCUUUUGAUUUGCUUCUCAAAAGAGUAAAAUUUCCUAAUUGUGAUUGUUAUUCAUUGUCCUUCUGUUCCACUAGAAGAGUUGGACAAUCCUUGGUUGCUAAAGCUGGAGCUCUCUCUGCCAAAAGUUACUCUUUGAAGGUGUGCUAAUGGCUCUUUGUGUUUCGGAUCAUAAAGUUAUAACAUUGUCAAGUUUCCAUACUCGCUCAGCUGUAUGGUAGACUUAGCAGGAAAAGAUCGCAUUGCGAAGGUUAGGUGUCAGGAAGUGUUUAUAUGCAAUAAAGCAAGGUUUUGUUCCAAUGAGGCCAUGAGAGCAGCAGAGCUUGCAAAGCUAGACUCCUUAAGUAAAUUUCUGGAUGUAUAUUUCUAGGAGAGUACUAUUAGACGUACUCCUUUCGUAUAUAAAAGAUUAGCUUUGCACAAUCUAUUUUGAUGCAUGAUGUAGAUGAUAACAUUUUCUAUAUAUUGAUCAUUUACUGUUAAUUUGGUCAUUUUUGAUUCCGCUUCCA